This 888-nucleotide ribosomal RNA is filed under the name uncultured fungus. Its description in RNAcentral is "eukaryotic LSU rRNA". The stretch from base 506 to 888 matches the Rfam family "Eukaryotic large subunit ribosomal RNA", at positions 1 to 380 of the family's 3401-position model. Lineage: Eukaryota; Fungi. The record is from RNAcentral.
CUCGUAGGUGACCUGCGGAGGGAUCAUUACCGAGUUCAUGCCCUUACGGGUAGAUCUCCCACCCUGUGUUAUUAUUACCUUUGUUGCUUUGGCGGGCCGUCAGAUUUCGGUCAGGCUACCGGCUCCGGCUGGUAAGCGCCCGCCAGAGGACCCCAAACUCCUGAAUAUUAGUGUCGUCUGAGUACUAUAUAAUAGUUAAAACUUUCAACAACGGAUCUCUUGGUUCUGGCAUCGAUGAAGAACGCAGCGAAAUGCGAUAAGUAAUGUGAAUUGCAGAAUUCAGUGAAUCAUCGAAUCUUUGAACGCACAUUGCGCCCCUUGGUAUUCCGAGGGGCAUGCCUGUUCGAGCGUCAUUACAACCCUCAAGCACUGCUUGGUAUUGGGCUCCGCUGCUUAUACAGCGGGCCUUAAAAUUAGUGGCGGUGUCAUUAGGCCCUGAGCGUAGUAAAUAUCCUCGCUAUAGGGACUUGGUGAUUACUGGCCAGCAACCCCCACUUUCUAAGUUUGACCUCGGAUCAGGUAGGGAUACCCGCUGAACUUAAGCAUAUCAAUAAGCGGAGGAAAAGAAACCAACAGGGAUUGCCUCAGUAACGGCGAGUGAAGCGGCAACAGCUCAAAUUUGAAAUCUGGCUCUUUCAGGGUCCGAGUUGUAAUUUGUAGAAGAUGCUUCGGGUGUGGCUCCGGUCUAAGUUCCUUGGAACAGGACGUCAUAGAGGGUGAGAAUCCCGUAUGUGACUGGCUGCCUUCGCCUAUGUGAAGCUCUUUCGACGAGUCGAGUUGUUUGGGAAUGCAGCUCAAAAUGGGUGGUAAAUUUCAUCUAAAGCUAAAUAUUGGCCAGAGACCGAUAGCGCACAAGUAGAGUGAUCGAAAGAUGAAAAGCACUUUGAA